This 1343-nucleotide long non-coding RNA is filed under the name Ficedula albicollis (Collared flycatcher). RNAcentral describes it as "lncRNA (ENSFALG00000023227.1)". Lineage: Eukaryota; Metazoa; Chordata; Aves; Passeriformes; Muscicapidae. The record is from RNAcentral.
CCCCCCCCCCCCCCCCCCCCCCCCCCCCCGGCCGAGCCCGGGGGGCCGUCGGGGGCUGCGCGCUGGGCUCCGACGAGCCGCUGUUGUGCGCGAUGGCGAGUUCGCCUCGGGGGAGCGGGGCGGGGUGAGCGGGGGCCCGGGAGAAAUCGCGUAGGGAAACGACCCGAGGGGAGCUGGGGAUCGCCGCGGGUGCCGGAGCUCUGCGUCUGACAAGGGGCAGCGGUGCUCGCCGCCGCUUCCCGCGGCAGACUUGUGAACUCCUGGCGGGUCCCCGGCGGCGCCGGGAUUUGCCCGGGCCAGACGGCUCGGGGGGAGGCGGGGGCGCGGGCAGCCGUCCAGCCCCGAGGCGUGCGCCGAGCAGAGCCGGCUCGUUCUCCCGGUUAGGCGCCUGCCGGUGGCGGGUUAAUCUCGGAUGAAGGGUUUAGCUGGGCGAGCGCGGCCCGCCCGCGCUAUUAGCCGGAUCGGUGCGUGUGCGCGCCGCGGCGGUGAUUAGCUUUUAAUGGCUUCUGCCCGAAGCAAGGCGGGCGGCGGUGCCGGCCGAGCGCUGGGGCCGCCGCCGCGCUCACCCCUCUGCUCUCCGCAGGCAGGGCAGGGGACAGCGGCCGCCCGCUGCCGUCUUCCCCGGGCACCGGAGCCGCGGUCUCCCGGGCAGGAGCUGGGACCGGCCCGCCGUCGCCCCUCGCAUUGCCGCCGCUCAGGGCCAGCAACGCUUCCCACACGAUACAAAUUACAGACCACAGAAGGAGGCAGGAGAAAACCUCCCAGUGUGACAUUCUUCAGCGUGAGGAAGCCUGAAUAAAUCUGGAGAGCUAUAACUGAACCUCUUCCUGCAAAAUACAUCCCAUUACAUGGCAAGUGGAUCUGUAAUAGUCUCCUUUGAUCUCUGCCAAUACAUGUAUUUACUUAGGCAUUGUGCAGGCAACAAAAGAAAUACAUGUGUUUUUCUAGCCCCCAAAUGUACAUGUCAAUGUCUGUACACCUUCUAAGAUCCACUUUCGUUGUGUGUGGGGUCCCAGCCUACUUCAGUGUGUGAUAAUUAGAAAGUGAGCCAAUGUCUGUACACCUUCUAAGAUCCACUUUCAUUGUGUGUGGGGUCCCAGCCUACUUCUGUGUGUGAUAAUUAGAAAGUGAGUCUACUUCAGUGUGUGAUAAUUAGAAAGUGAGCCUUCCAGACUGCCUUCUCCCAUUCAUUGUUAUUUGAUCAUAUGAAGAAAUACCAGGAAAGAAUCAUCAGGAUUGGUUUUCAAAAUGGCUUUAAAGUGCCUCUUUGUUACUAUGACUGGACCUGGGACAAUGGUAGAUGUGUCUCAAAGGUCUGCUAAAAAUGAAAAUGUGUAUUGCAU